UAGGGAAUCUUCGGCAAUGGACGAAAGUCUGACCGAGCAACGCCGCGUGAGUGAAGAAGGUUUUCGGAUCGUAAAACUCUGUUGUUAGAGAAGAACAAGGACGUUAGUAACUGAACGUCCCCUGACGGUAUCUAACCAGAAAGCCACGGCUAACUACGUGCCAGCAGCCGCGGUAAUACGUAGGUGGCAAGCGUUGUCCGGAUUUAUUGGGCGUAAAGCGAGCGCAGGCGGUUUCUUAAGUCUGAUGUGAAAGCCCCCGGCUCAACCGGGGAGGGUCAUUGGAAACUGGGAGGCUUGAGUGAAGAAGAGGAGGGUGGAAGUCCAUGUGUAGCGGUGGAAUGCGUAGAUAUAUGGAGGAACACCAGUGGCGAAGGCGGCUCUCUGGUCAGUAACUGACGCUGAGGAUCGAAAGCGUGGGGAGCAAACAGG
Molecule: ribosomal RNA, 429 nt
Filed under: Gemmatimonadota bacterium
Lineage: Bacteria; Pseudomonadati; Gemmatimonadota
Description: Gemmatimonadetes bacterium partial 16S ribosomal RNA
Rfam family: Bacterial small subunit ribosomal RNA
Source: RNAcentral